GACGAACGCUGGCGGCGUGCCUAAUACAUGCAAGCCGAGCGAAUUUACGAGAGCUUGCUCUCGUAAAUUAGCGGCGGACGGGUGAGUAACACGUGGGCAACCUGCCUAUAAGACUGGGAUAACUUCGGGAAACCGGAGCUAAUACCGGAUAAUUCACAUCUGCUCAUGUAGAUGUGCUGAAAGACGGUUUCGGCUGUCACUUAUAGAUGGGCCCGCGGCGAAUUAGCUAGUUGGUGAGGUAACGGCUCACCAAGGCCACGAUGCGUAGCCGACCUGAGAGGGUGAUCGGCCACACUGGGACUGGGACACGGCCCAGACUCCUACGGGAGGCAGCAGUAGGGAAUCUUCCGCAAUGGACGAAAGUCUGACGGAGCAACGCCGCGUGAGUGAUGAAGGUUUUCGGAUCGUAAAACUCUGUUGUUAGGGAAGAACAAGUACCAGAGUAACUGCUGGUACCUUGACGGUACCUAACCAGAAAGCCACGGCUAACUACGUGCCAGCCGCCGCGGUAA
RNAcentral lists this ribosomal RNA (512 nucleotides) under uncultured bacterium. RNAcentral's name for it is "partial 16S ribosomal RNA". It matches the Rfam family "Bacterial small subunit ribosomal RNA", at positions 28 to 523 of the family's 1533-position model. The record is from RNAcentral.